This 595-nucleotide ribosomal RNA is filed under the name uncultured bacterium. RNAcentral describes it as "bacterial SSU rRNA". The stretch from base 1 to 517 matches the Rfam family "Bacterial small subunit ribosomal RNA", at positions 338 to 873 of the family's 1533-position model. The record is from RNAcentral.
CCUACGGGAGGCAGCAGUGGGGAAUCUUGCGCAAUGGGCGAAAGCCUGACGCAGCCACGCCGCGUGAAUGAUGAAGGUCUUAGGAUUGUAAAAUUCUUUCACCGGGGACGAUAAUGACGGUACCCGGAGAAGAAGCCCCGGCUAACUUCGUGCCAGCAGCCGCGGUAAUACGAAGGGGGCUAGCGUUGCUCGGAAUUACUGGGCGUAAAGGGAGCGUAGGCGGAUAGUUUAGUCAGAGGUGAAAGCCCAGGGCUCAACCUUGGAAUUGCCUUUGAUACUGGCUAUCUUGAGUAUGGGAGAGGUUAGCGGAACUCCGAGUGUAGAGGUGAAAUUCGUAGAUAUUCGGAAGAACACCAGUGGCGAAGGCGGCUAACUGGCCCAUUACUGACGCUGAGGCUCGAAAGCGUGGGGAGCAAACAGGAUUAGAUACCCUGGUAGUCCACGCCGUAAACGAUGAGUGCUAGUUGUCGGCAUGCAUGCAUGUCGGUGACGCAGCUAACGCAUUAAGCACUCCGCCUGGGGGAGGUACGGUCGCAGAAUAAACUACAAAGAAGUAGACGCGNGAGACGNGCCGACGACGACGACGAGGGAGAGG